GCUUUGGGGGUUGAGUUGGCUGAGACUUGAAGUAGAAGUGCCAGGACACAAAUAAAGCCAACCUACAGUAUAAAACAUGGCUUUCAAACCAUAGCUUGCUAUUCUUUAUUUUCCCGUUUCCCCCCGCAACUAUGUGAUUCAGAAACCUCCCCUUUUUUCGAUCCUUCUGCAGCCACAAAACACCCUGCAGUCCCAACCCAAAUGAAGGAUUGGAAGUGAGGGGACCUCCUGGCCUUUUGUACGGUCCUCCGGCAGGUAGCUCACACCGCUUCCUUUGGGAAUGAGUACUUCCUACCUGUUGUCUUGCAGUUUGCUGAUUCACAGUUCAGACAUGAAACCAUCUGUAAAUAUUAGCCUAUAUAAUUUGUAGUGAUAUUAAACAAAGUGGUGAGAAUCCUGCUUAAGGAAAAAAAAAUUAAUGGCUUUCCAUAUGGUUCAGAAAAGCUUAACACAUACUAGUUAGCAUAGUGUAGGAACAACACAGUUCUGACUCAAUUUAGCUGUAAAAAUGAAGACUUAGUGAAACAUUAAUUUUCCAAAAUUACGGAGUAUUUUAAUGUGAUUGUAAUUGCCCCUUUGUGCUUUUAAUUUAUUAACAUUGUUAUAACAAAUUAUAACUCAUUGUAACCAAAUGCUUUAGACAUUAAAGAACCAGGCUGGUAUGCUGGCAUCUCGAUAUAAAGGCAAUCUCUGUAUAAUGCAAUCACAGAGUAUCCGUUCUGAUUUACUUGGAAUAACUUACGCUAAUUCUAAUAUUCCUUCUGCAUAGGUAUUGUUACACUUCUGUGUCUCAGGCUGUAUUUCAUGUGUUCACAUACAAGCUUUGUGUGAUGUGUUUCCGUGGGGAGCUGCACCUAGGCUCAGGACAGCCAGAAGAUCUGGAUCAUGUACAAACCAGGCACAGCAAGCUAGUAAAAUGGACAGCCUGGGCAGCAACAUCAUUCACUUUCUCAUACCAGAGCACCCAUUUUGGACACAGAAUGAAAGAAGCAUAUUCAGCCUUUAUGACGCUGAGACCAUUAGCAGUGUUGCUAUUUGAGGGAGGAAGGACAAUAGCCAUUCCAGCUUUCUCUUGGAGUGACCAUUCCCAAAAACAACAGGACAGAAGUGAUUCCAGACCACUUUUUCUGCUGACGUCAGUUACUGUCUGCUAG
This 1154-nucleotide long non-coding RNA is filed under the name Anser brachyrhynchus (Pink-footed goose). RNAcentral describes it as "lncRNA (ENSABRG00000013239.1)". The record is from RNAcentral. Lineage: Eukaryota; Metazoa; Chordata; Aves; Anseriformes; Anatidae.